UCCAGGCUUAGUCUUGAAGGCAAUAUCAAAAUCCUGGAAAUUCUGCAUGCCUUUUCAUUCGAUUUAGGGUAGAACACAGACCCAGCCAUUGAUCCUCCAUAGUCAGGUACACCAAAAUUCCCAAUUGCACAUUCAUAAACAUCUUUCAUUGAGUCCGGUGACGUCACCUUGAAAAUAUUCUUCUCGUUUGAGCAUCAACGACGCUCACAGGGCAAAGGCGAAAUCAUUGAGAAGUUGCUCGAAACCUUCAAAGGAAAGAGAAACGAGCUCGAAUACAAAGGCGAAAAAAUGAAGGAAUAAAAAAAUUGAGCAAAAAUUGAAGAUAUGUGUAAUUAAUCUGCUGCAAUACCUAUCGAUUUACUACCUGGGAACUUGAGGUGCAAUAAUGUUUAUUCGGAAGGGACAGCACAAGGGAGGCGGUGGGGGGCCAGAAGCUGGAUGUGGCAGUCAAAAUUUGUAGGCGCCGACCACCAGGUGGAGCUCAGCAUCGAUCGAAGAGGCGGUGGCCGCCGGCCGAGGCGGCGGUGGCGGGCGGCAGCAGCGGGCGACCAAGGAGGAGCAAUUUAGAGAUUUGGUGGAAACGACGUCGUUCUGCAAUGAGCAGAAUAAAAGAAAAGAAAAAAAUGAAGCACACGCGUCGCGGUCGAGCUACUUCAAAAAUAAAGGGAAAAGAAAAGAUUUGAAAACGCUGAUUGGUUAGAGUGAAGGGAACGGCACCGUUUCAGCCUUAAAUGGGCCAAAAGUAAAUGAAAAAGAAAAGGUUUAAGGGUGAGAGUUCAGACAACAGAAAUUGCGGCGCUCUCAGAGGGUGUGUACAAAGCUCGCUUCUAACCCAAUUCAAAUAAUACUGAACCUGAAUUUAGUAGAACACCUCCUACAUCUCCAAUAAGAGCGUAGAUUAUUUUCGAAGUUCUCCUUGGAAAAAACAACAAAACAAGCGCUCUAAAUGUUGCCAACAUACAUAAAAAAUAAAAGAAAAAACAAAAAAAAAACCAUCAAUAGUUCAAAACUGAGAUACAAUGUAAAGUAACACAUACAAAUUACCAAAAAUACAUGCUAAAAAGGUGGUUUAUUUUUUAUGAUACAUAGUAAACGUUUUUAAAGUUAAAUCUGAAGAAAAAAAAAAAGGACAGAUAAAAAUAAGAGUAGGUUGUGAUAAUGGAACUGUCAGAAAAUGUCACCUACGCUAAUUCUCUUUAGCGUGUCUUAAGAUCGCCUAAGGAUUAUUAAUUAAUGAAACUAAUAAAAUGAGAACUGAUAUUAGUUCACCUGAGAAUCUAAAUUCUAACUUCAUUCCUGCUUCCCGGACAAGCACAUCCUCAGGUUUCUUCUCCCCAUCAGCCGCCGAUUCUUUUGCACUACACACAUAAAACAUCGGAAUUUAGCAAAAGCUUACUGAAAUAGAUUUAAUUGAACUUGAUAUGAUAAAUUUACCGAGUAAUUUAAAGACAACAAACAAAAGCAUUAUUCAAGUGAACAAGAGUUAACCAUUCCACUGAUGGAAAAAAAACUAAUAUGAUAAAGAAAGUGCAUAAUUAGAAACAACAGAUGGGGCACUAACGGCAUACCAAGCAGACAAAUAAAUAUGACAUGAACGCUCAAAUAAGAGGCUCAACCCUGUCAUCUGCCACAAGAAUAGCUGCUGCUCCAGCAUUCUGAGCAUUCCACGCCUUUAAUGUUAAAAAGCAUUCUGCCAGUACACGAGGAAGAUAAGUUGCCAGACGGUGACGAAGGAAUAGAUAUGCGAGCAUAUUUUAAGCGACAUAUGGACAUAACUAUGAUCAUAACUAAUCAAGAAUUAAGACAAGUGUGCCUGCACAUGGUCAUGCAGUUCCCAAACGAAAUCAUACUCUUGCAACAUAUAUAAGUCGCUAAUAAACACUCAAAGAUGUUAAAAUCCAUAAUACAUCAAUCACAAAGAAGGAUAAGAGCAAAAACAUUACAUAUUAUUCUGAAUUUGUAUUCAAUCCAAACAAUUCAUUCAGAAUCUUAUGGAGAAUUGUUUAGAAAAAAUUGGUUUAGCCAUGUAUAAUUCAACUCCAAAGUUAUCGCACUCGUGCCGAUUUGAAGUAUUAAUAAAUAGCAUAAUGAGUAGAGUAAGUCAACACCAAAUCCCGAAUCAAUUUAGUAUUUCAGUUAACACACAUGCACUAAGCAAUCAAAAUGAAUUAGCAGAACCAGACAACCAAACUUAACACAACGGAACAUGGUAUAGCAACCACCCAUUAGAAACUAAGCAAAUAAGGAAAAUUUACCUCUCUGUCAGCAAGAAGGAAGAUNNNNNNNNNNNNNNNNNNNNNNNNNNNNNNNNNNNNNNNNNNNNNNNNNNNNNNNNNNNNNNNNNNNNNNNNNNNNNNNNNNNNNNNNNNNNNNNNNNNNUUAGUCUUGAAGGCAAUAUCAAAAUCCUGGAAAUUCUUGCAUGCCUUUUCAUUCGAUUUAGGGUAGAACACAGACCCAGCCAUUGAUCCUCCAUAGUCAGGUACACCAAAAUUCCCAAUUGCACAUUCAUAAACAUCUUUCAUUGAGUCCGGUGACGUCACCUUGAAAAUAUUCUUCUCGUUUGAGCAUCAACGACGC
RNAcentral lists this long non-coding RNA (2577 nucleotides) under Erythranthe guttata (spotted monkey flower). Its description in RNAcentral is "long non-coding RNA (EGUT_LNC001714)". The record is from RNAcentral. Lineage: Eukaryota; Viridiplantae; Streptophyta; Magnoliopsida; Lamiales; Phrymaceae.